RNAcentral lists this small nuclear RNA (62 nucleotides) under Erinaceus europaeus (western European hedgehog). RNAcentral's name for it is "U7 small nuclear RNA". It matches the Rfam family "U7 small nuclear RNA". From Rfam's summary of the family: Animal histone pre-mRNAs are spliced by a different mechanism than nuclear pre-mRNAs and self-splicing introns. This processing involves the U7 snRNP, which contains only one RNA species: U7. The record is from Rfam by way of RNAcentral. Lineage: Eukaryota; Metazoa; Chordata; Mammalia; Eulipotyphla; Erinaceidae.
GAGUGUGACAUCUCUUUUAGAAUUUGUCUAGCAGGUCUUCUUGUCUCUACCAGAAUCCCCCU